AGAGACAGCAGCAGCCGCGGUAAUACGUAGGUCCCGAGCGUUGUCCGGAUCUAUUGGGCGUAAAGGGCGCGUAGGCGGACAGUUAAGUUGGGGGUGAAAGUCCGGGGCUCAACCUCGGAAUUGCCUUCAAUACUGGCUGUCUUGAGUAUGAGAGAGGUGUGUGGAACUCCGAGUGUAGAGGUGAAAUUCGUAGUUAUUCGGAAGAACACCUGUGGCGAAGGCGACACACUGGCUCAUUACUGACGCUGAGGCGCGAAAGCGUGGGGAGCAAACAGGAUUAGAUACCCCUGUAGUCCCUGUCUCUUAUAC
RNAcentral lists this ribosomal RNA (309 nucleotides) under uncultured bacterium. RNAcentral's name for it is "partial 16S ribosomal RNA". It matches the Rfam family "Bacterial small subunit ribosomal RNA", at positions 504 to 807 of the family's 1533-position model. The record is from RNAcentral.